AUUACGGCAGACUGGUGUAAUAAUACUAUUUUCAAGCGUUUUUUAAUUGUGAAGAUAGUUUUGAAUCACUAGUCAAGUUUGUUUUGAUUCACUAGUCAAGUUUGUUUGGAAUCACUAGUAGCCGAUGCUAAUGUGUUCCGCUAUCGCUAUUUGUUGAGAUAGAUAUCCGAUAACCCUUGACAUGACAUGUUAAGGUUUCAAGUAAAAUUUGUGUGCAGUGGAUUUGCUUACUACUACUAUUAGCCUACUUGGUUGAUUAUACCGGCGCACUGCUUUGAUAUCGGUAAAGCUGCCACCUAGGCUACGUCACUCGCCUGUCAAACUGAAGAUUUCCAUUCCACUUUUACCUCAGGGACACCACAGGAGACCAGACGGCUCAUUAAUUGCAGGGCGACCAGGGACAAUGAGUUCCUAAAAUCGAAAAUGAUCGCCAGAAAACAGUGGGAGCUUUUUCUGGAAGAAAUGGGGGUGGAGGGGAAAGUGACCAGGCAACAGGCUUCUAAGAAGUGGGAGAACCUUGAAAAGAAGUACAAGGCCCGCUCUAUCACAGAACGCACCUUGGAUUGGCGGUAAUUAAAGCGCUGCUGCACCCGCCCAAUCACCGGCUCUUUAUAGGGAGUCAACAGACAUAUGGGCGUCUGGAGGCAGGGGUACCCACCAUCACCUAAGAGCAUGUAACCCGGCGGUGGAUACCUGGCAGUCAAAUAAAAAUAACUGUUUUUCAUUACCCUUGUCCUUUAUGUUUCUUGGACGGAAUGUAACUGAUCAUUUCGUUGCUCUGUAACAUGUGCAAUGACAACAAAUAGAAUCCUAUCCUAUCCUAUGGCAAUGUUUUGAUAUGUUGAGGGGAGUGUCUUAUGUCUGCAUUUAUUUGAAAGAGCAUAUGCACAGAAAAGCAGACGGACGGAGUUACAAUGGAGAUCCUGCGAGUUUUUAAAAGCCAUGUGACGCGUCACAUCACAUAGGAAAGUUAACGCCAGCAUUUCUGAC
Gadus macrocephalus (Pacific cod) is the source of this 990-nucleotide long non-coding RNA. RefSeq lists it as uncharacterized. The transcript has 3 exons. Lineage: Eukaryota; Metazoa; Chordata; Actinopteri; Gadiformes; Gadidae. The record is from RefSeq and is a predicted model, not a curated record.